UUUUAGCCCCACUUGGAGACCUCUGAGGAGGGGAGAGGUGCUGGCGUUGAAUUAAGCAUUAAGGCCAAUGAUAUAAUCAGUCAUGCCUACACAAUGAAGCCUCCAUAAAAAUCCCUCAACUAUGGGGUUCAGAGAGCUUCCAGAUCAGGAAACUGAAGCUUAGAGAAUGUAAACAACCAUCUAUGAACACAGAUCUUCCUGGCUGUGGUGUCCUUGCUACCGGACAAUAUCUUUCAAUGUAAAUUUUUUCCAGUUUUUUUCUUAAGAAGUAUCGGAACAUAGAGCCCAGCAGUAUUAAUGAAACUUUAUUGUGCUUACUCUAUGCCAGGCACAAGCAUCACCUCAAUCUUCCCAAUAAUUCUCUGAGAAUGGCACAUGGCAUCUGUCGAUCCAAAAUCUUGGAAGAUCCUAAGAGUCAUCAUUAGGUCUUGGUCUUUUCUCCCGGUAGACCCCUUUUCACCUUUCAGCUUUCUACUGUUGCAAAUUGAUAUUUGACUGAUGACUGAGUACCCAGAAGAGAGCCUUCGUCAGGUCAAGACUUCAGGACCUGAUGAAGCUGAGAUUGCAAGACACUGCACAAUGGGACCUUUCUAGACUGCACAGACCGCUCAGGUCAGAGAACAUCACUCUCCACGAUAGUUUUCUGCAUUUGCUUUAAUACAAAAUGAACUCUUCUUCGCAUAUGAACUCUGAGAAGAACAUUGACUGACGUCAAACUAUUCAGUAUUUCCCAAAACAUGCAUUUUAACAACAGGGUAUGUUUAGAAGACAGAAUUCAGCUUUAAUUGGUUACUUACAAUUCUGAUGGUUUUUAUUUGCCAUGUCUCCUUUUUCCUUUCAUCCUUUAAAAGGAACCAAUCCUCUUGACCUGAUGAAGCUCAGAAUAAUGAGUACAUUUUCAAAAGCAUGCUGUUUACCGAAGCAAAGAGCAAUUUUAUAAAAUCCUACAAAAUUUCAAUGUAAAACCACCAUGAGAAACCAGAAGAAACCAAAUUUUGAGAGAACCACCCCAAAAUAAAUAAAUAAAUUUUGAAGGCUACUAGUUACAAGGUGUCAUGUUCAGUAUUUUGUAAAUGUGUCCUUAUUUAAUUCUUUCCCAAAAUACCUUGGGUAAAUUGUAAGGAGAAGGCUCAGUAAGAUUAAUUUGUUCUUGAUCAAAUAUGCUAAGAUGCUGGUUUAGGAUUUGAACCAAUAUCUAUCUGAAUCUAAAAUAUAUACUCUUUCCAUAAUAUUUUGUUACCCACAGAGUAUGCUAUUGUUAAACUCUAGGGCCACCUUGAAUUUGUGACGAAAAAUAGAUUGGAGUUUUAUUUUUAAGGAGAGGGUUAAAAAUAUGUGGACUUUUUUUUUCUCUUUCAGAAAUUGAAUCAUGCACUA
Molecule: long non-coding RNA, 1377 nt
Filed under: Equus asinus (donkey)
Lineage: Eukaryota; Metazoa; Chordata; Mammalia; Perissodactyla; Equidae
Description: lncRNA (ENSEASG00005024168.1, ENSEASG00020026850.1)
Source: RNAcentral